UUAGGAUAGUCGUCGUCUGCCAGCUGCUUGCGCUUGUCCGAGCAAGAAUGUGCUGACAGUCCGCUGGCACUCCGCGACUUCCGGUCCAUAAAAAAACGAACGCGAUUCUGGCAGCUCUCGGACUAGUGGGCGGAGCUUCCGAAGCUGUUCGAGAAAAUCGAAUGCGGCACAGCAGUUCCAAGCAGUCUCAGACUGUCAGGGACUGAUAAUCAAAAAGGCUGCAGUGUCCGCUCUUCUUGAAUUUUUUUUUCUAUGACCCCCUUUUGAGCCUGCUUUAGUGGUUGUAUCGGUUGCACGGUUUCAUCGAGCACGCAAUUUCGUCGGUCCCGCAGCAGACACGAUGCCACCCAACAAGCAUACCGGCUGCCAGAACAAUUCUGUCUGCUCUGUGGUGCAAGAACUGCGGCGGAAACAGUCAAGCAUAGUUCGUUCGUUUUCCGGCAGACUGAAGUGCUUACCUAGACAAGCACAGUCGACCUGACAUAGUGAACAGACGGCUGGUGUACCUUGCACUCGUUCACCUAUCAAAAGCCAAACUGAUGCUGCGAAGUGGUAUCAACUCAUUGAGCACCGAAGGGAAUGUGGAGUUACUCUAACGUGACGACUCGGGCUCCUUCAAUCUCUUCCUUGCUUCUCUGCGAAUGGGAGGUCCAAUGCUCAGCCCAGGCUGCCAUAAGACGCCGCAGCAAAGACUAACGCUGCUCUGUGGCCGAAAACGACGCACCUCCGAUGAUGGUACCUCCAAAAACCAUACUGCGUUCCCGCUUUGUACCGACACGCAAAAGCUCCUAAGCUUCACAUGAAAAGACGUCCAAACCCGCGCUGGCUGUGAUAUCUAUUUUUUGCCGUCUCUUAUAAAGUUCUUAUAUACUGCACACAAUAAAUCGACUUCCACGGCGGGGUGCUACAGUCUAAGUGAUG
Dermacentor albipictus is the source of this 921-nucleotide long non-coding RNA. RefSeq lists it as uncharacterized. Lineage: Eukaryota; Metazoa; Arthropoda; Arachnida; Ixodida; Ixodidae. The record is from RefSeq and is a predicted model, not a curated record.